GGCGGCGUAGCUCAAUUGGCAGAGCAGGGGAUUCAUAAGCCCCGGGUUGCAGGUUCGAGUCCUGCCGCCGCCA
This 73-nucleotide transfer RNA is filed under the name Planctomycetota bacterium. RNAcentral's name for it is "Planctomycetes bacterium tRNA-Met". It matches the Rfam family "tRNA". Rfam says of the family: Transfer RNA (tRNA) molecules are approximately 80 nucleotides in length. Their secondary structure includes four short double-helical elements and three loops (D, anti-codon, and T loops). Lineage: Bacteria; Pseudomonadati; Planctomycetota. The record is from RNAcentral.